CCGCGUGUCCCGGCGAACUUUGGAUCGAUCCGACGCGGAGGAAGGCGAAGCCGAGGGAGCGGCGAAGAGUGACGGUGCCGCUUCGCCGGUUCGAGUCCACGUCCAGCCUGAGAUCCGAGCGCGGCACCGUUCCCACCUGCCAUCGGGGAAUAUUGUCCCCGUGAAGGGGUGGACCUGGUCAGCGACAAGGUCCAGUCUCCCCCUCCUGUUACAACGACCGAAUGCGCGUUUGUCCUUGCAGACGGCUGGACAGCGAACGCCUUCCCCCGAGGUUCUCCACUUCUAG
Long non-coding RNA from Denticeps clupeoides (denticle herring), 286 nucleotides. The record is from Ensembl. NCBI's taxonomy places the organism in Eukaryota, Metazoa, Chordata, Actinopteri, Clupeiformes, Denticipitidae.